This 394-nucleotide unclassified non-coding RNA is filed under the name soil metagenome. Its description in RNAcentral is "partial contains 5.8S ribosomal RNA, internal transcribed spacer 2, and large subunit ribosomal RNA". The stretch from base 5 to 121 matches the Rfam family "5.8S ribosomal RNA", at positions 40 to 154 of the family's 154-position model. The record is from RNAcentral.
GAUGAGAACGUAGCGAAAUGCGAUACUUGGGGUGAAUUGCAGAAUCCCGUGAACCAUCGAGUCUUUGAACGCAAGUUGCGCCCGAAGCCAUCAGGUUGAGGGCACGUCUGCCUGGGCGUCACAUAUCGUUGCCCAAUGCCUAUUGCAGUGCAAUAGGAAUUUCUAGGGCGAAUGAUGGCUUCCCGUGAGCGUUGUUGCCUCGCGGUUGGUUGAAAAUCGAGUCCUUGGUAGGGUGUGCCAUGGUAGAUGGUGGUCGAGUUAGAACGAUACCGAUCAUGUGCAUGCUCCCCAAAAUAUGGCCUCUAUGACCCACACGCGUCUUUUGACGCUCAUGACGAGACCUCGGGUCAGGCGGGGCUACCCGCUGAAUUUAAGCAUAUCAAUAAGCGGAGGA